Molecule: long non-coding RNA, 239 nt
Filed under: Nicotiana benthamiana
Lineage: Eukaryota; Viridiplantae; Streptophyta; Magnoliopsida; Solanales; Solanaceae
Description: long non-coding RNA (NBEN_LNC009272)
Source: RNAcentral
CUAUUAUUUUGUACGUUAUGAACUGUACAGGUUUAUGUGAUUGUCUAGUCCUAGCUUUGUCACUACUUCAUCGGGAUAAGCCGGGCACUUACCAGCACAUGGGGUCGGUUGUGCUGAUUCUACACUCUGCGCUCUUUUGCGCAGUUUCAGGUUUUGGACAGCAGCAGCAGUAGUGCGGGUGUUAGGUUUUGAUCAUCGAGACACCGAGGUAGCCUUGCAGGCGUCCGCAGGACCCGACG